AAGAGGAAGAGAUUCUGUACCAGAGGAAGUAGAAACAAUUAUAACAUUGAUAUCAGGAAAUGAAAUCUAGGUUUAAUCAAGUCGGGGGUGGCGCGAUCAGGCUAAGACUCUUCGAAAAGGUCACGAGUUGGUACCAAGUGUGUGUGUAGGGGGGGGGGGGGGUUUGACGUUACAGUGACAUCUAACGCCUUCAUAUUAUCAAACCACAUGUCUGAUAUUGUCCUCUCUUCCUCUCCUCCCUCCCUCCCUCCCUCCCUCCCUCCCUCCCUCCCUCCCUCCCUCCCUCCUCCCUCCCUCCCUCCCUCCUCCCUCCCUCCCUCCCUCCCUCCAUCCCUCCCUCCCUCCCUCCCUCCCUCCCUCCCUCCCUCCCUCUCCUCCCUCCCUCCCUCCCUCCCUCCCUCCCUCUCCUCCCUCCCUUCCUCUCCUCCCUCCCUUCCUCUCCUCCCCUCCUCCCUCUCCUCCCUCCCUCCCUCCCUUCCUCUCCUCCCCCCUCCCUCCCUCCCUCCCUCCCUCCCCCCCUCCCUUCCUCUCCUCCCCCCUCCCUCUCCUCCCUCCCUCCCUCCCUCUCCUCCCCCCCUCCCUCUCCUCCCCCCCUCCCUCUCCUCCCUCCCUCCUUCCCCUCUCCCUUCCUCUCCCCCCCCUCUCCUCCCUCCCUCCCUUCCUCUACCCCCCCCCUCUCCUCCCUCCCUCCCUUCCUCUCCUCCCCCCCUCCCUCUCCUCCCUCUCUUCCUCUCCUCCCCCCCUCCCUCCCUCCCUCCCUCCCUCCCUCCCUCCCUCUCCUCCCCCCCUCCCUCUCCUCCCCCCCUCCCUCUCCUCCCCCCCUCCCUCUCCUCCCUCCCUCCUUCCCCUCUCCCUUCCUCUCUUCCUCUCCUCCCUCUCUUCCUCUCCUCCCCCCCUCCCUCUCUUCCUCUCCUCCCUCUCUUCCUCUCCUCCCCCCCUCCCUCUCCUCCCCCCCUCCCUCUCCUCCCUCCCUCCCUCCCUUCCUCUCCUCCCCCCUCCCUCUCCUCCCUCCCUUCCUCUCCCCCCCCCCUCCUCUCCUCCCUCCCUCACGUUCUAUCCAGGUAUCCAGGCCUACUGCUUGUCCCAUGUGACACGGGAGGAGAGUGCUGGCUAGAAGCCAGUCUGGAGACCGCCAUGUUGCUCUGGAUGCCAGGGACGGAUCACAUGUCGAGGAUCCAGUUCUGUUACUCUGAGACUGUUUGUGAAUAUGGGACCUGA
This 1218-nucleotide long non-coding RNA is filed under the name Oncorhynchus kisutch (coho salmon). Its description in RNAcentral is "lncRNA (ENSOKIG00005041181.1)". Lineage: Eukaryota; Metazoa; Chordata; Actinopteri; Salmoniformes; Salmonidae. The record is from RNAcentral.